RNAcentral lists this ribosomal RNA (451 nucleotides) under uncultured bacterium. Its description in RNAcentral is "bacterial SSU rRNA". It matches the Rfam family "Bacterial small subunit ribosomal RNA", at positions 354 to 796 of the family's 1533-position model. The record is from RNAcentral.
GUGGGGAAUUGUUCGCAAUGGGCGCAAGCCUGACGACGCAACGCCGCGUGGAGGAUGAAGGUCUUCGGAUUGUAAACUCCUGUUGGGUGGGACGAAUCCUUUCCGGGCUAACACCCCGGAGAAAUGACGGUACCACCUGAGGAAGCCCCGGCUAACUCUGUGCCAGCAGCCGCGGUAAUACAGAGGGGGCGAGCGUUGUUCGGAAUUACUGGGCGUAAAGGGCGCGUAGGCGGCCGACUAAGUCAGACGUGAAAUCCCCGAGCUCAACUCGGGAACUGCGUCUGAUACUGGUUGGCUGGAGUCCGGGAGAGGGAAGCGGAAUUCCAGGUGUAGCGGUGAAAUGCGUAGAUAUCUGGAGGAACACCGGUGGCGAAGGCGGCUUCCUGGACCGGUACUGACGCUGAGGCGCGAAAGCCAGGGGAGCAAACGGGAUUAGAAACCCGAGUAGUCC